AUUUAAUAAAAAAGAGAGUAUGAUGUCGGCUCAGAUUAAACGUUAUCUAAGGACUUGAUACAUGCGAAUCGAACGAUUAUAAUAUAAAAGACUGAAAAAGUAGAGAGAGAUUAUAAUAGUGAUAAAAAGGUGAGUAAUAUAUUGAAAUGAGAACUAUUAAUAAUUUUGAGAGAAAAUUAUAAAGAGUAUAUUUUAUAUACAGAAUAAAUAAUAUUAAUGAGAGUUAAUAUAAGUUAAUAGUCAAGUCAAUAUUGGAAUAGGUAGUAGGUGACAUAAAGGGAAUACCUAGCCAAGGAUCCAUAGUUAAUAAUGAGAGUUAUAAUAACCACAUUGAUUUUGAAAAAGAUCAAUAUAAAAGAUGUAAUAUAUUUAAGGAUAUAUUAUAUAUAAUACAGCAGUAGGGAAUAUUAGACAAUGAUUGAAAGAUUGAUCUAGUUACUUAGAGAGAUGAAGAUUAUAAAACUAAAGAAGGAGAAUAAGAAUGAAGAAUAUAAAAUCAAGGUAUAUAUUAGAAAGAAAGAAUGAUAAUAAUAUAUAAAGAAGUCUUAACAAAAAUUAGUGCCAGCAGUUGCGGCUAAACUAAGGAGGCGAACGUUAAUCAUUAAAGGCUUAAAGGAUCCGUAGAACGAUAUAAAUAAAUAUAAUAGAGUUAAAUAAGAAAAAGAAUGAAUAAUUAUUAUGAGAGAUGAAAUGUAAUGAUAAUAAUUAGACGGCCAAGAGUGAAAAUAGAAUUUGAUAUUUAACUGACGUUGAGGGAUGAAGGCAUGAGUAGUAAACCGGAUUAGAUACCCGAGUAAUUCAUGCAGUAAACGAUGAAUACUAAGAAAGAAAGCGAAGGCAAAGUAUUCCGCCAGGUAAGUAUAUUCGCAAGAAUGAAAUCCAAGACAAUAGACGGUUACAGGUGUAGGCAGUGGAUUGUGUUUUUUAAUUCGAUAAUCCCCGAGAAAUCUUACCAUUAUUUGAAUAAUAAAAAGAAGAAAUUGUUUUUAUAACAAAUGUUACAUCGUUGUUUAAAGUCUGUGCUUUAAGGUUAUGAUUAACUUCAUAAACAGACAAAAUUCCAUAUAUAUAAAUGAGAAUAUAUAUAUAUAUUUUUUUAUUUAAGAUAAAAGAUAUUAUAAUGGAACUACAACAAAUCAUGAUGACUUUAAUAUAAUGGGCUAAAGACGCAAUACAAAAUAUUUAAUAAAAUUAAAUUAAAUAAUAAUAAAUUAAAUUAAUAAUAAAAUAAAUAUACCAAAUAUAUCUAUAUAGAUAUAUAUAAUGUGAAUUAAUAUCUGAAAUUCGAUAUUAUGAAAAAGGAAUUGCUAGUAAUCAUAAUUCAUUAAGUUAUGGUGAAAUUCAUCCCUGUUUCGUACUAAUUACUCAUCAUUCGCUGGAAAGGGCUAUAAUUAAAAAAUAUUAUAUAUUUAUAUUUAUAUUUCAUAAAUAUUAUAAUAUAUUUAUAUUAUAUUCUCAAUUAUUAACUAACCAGUGAGAAGUUGAAAUACAGUUAUCGUUGAGGAAUCAGCGGUGGGUUGUCUAAAUAACUUUUUAUGUCAUAU
Molecule: non-coding RNA, 1544 nt
Filed under: Brettanomyces custersianus
Lineage: Eukaryota; Fungi; Ascomycota; Pichiomycetes; Pichiales; Pichiaceae
Description: small subunit ribosomal RNA
Rfam family: Bacterial small subunit ribosomal RNA
Source: RNAcentral